This 751-nucleotide ribosomal RNA is filed under the name Limosilactobacillus reuteri. RNAcentral describes it as "bacterial SSU rRNA". It matches the Rfam family "Bacterial small subunit ribosomal RNA", at positions 791 to 1533 of the family's 1533-position model. The record is from RNAcentral. Lineage: Bacteria; Bacillati; Bacillota; Bacilli; Lactobacillales; Lactobacillaceae.
UAGUCCAUGCCGUAAACGAUGAGUGCUAGGUGUUGGAGGGUUUCCGCCCUUCAGUGCCGGAGCUAACGCAUUAAGCACUCCGCCUGGGGAGUACGACCGCAAGGUUGAAACUCAAAGGAAUUGACGGGGGCCCGCACAAGCGGUGGAGCAUGUGGUUUAAUUCGAAGCUACGCGAAGAACCUUACCAGGUCUUGACAUCUUGCGCUAACCUUAGAGAUAAGGCGUUCCCUUCGGGGACGCAAUGACAGGUGGUGCAUGGUCGUCGUCAGCUCGUGUCGUGAGAUGUUGGGUUAAGUCCCGCAACGAGCGCAACCCUUGUUACUAGUUGCCAGCAUUAAGUUGGGCACUCUAGUGAGACUGCCGGUGACAAACCGGAGGAAGGUGGGGACGACGUCAGAUCAUCAUGCCCCUUAUGACCUGGGCUACACACGUGCUACAAUGGACGGUACAACGAGUCGCAAGCUCGCGAGAGUAAGCUAAUCUCUUAAAGCCGUUCUCAGUUCGGACUGUAGGCUGCAACUCGCCUACACGAAGUCGGAAUCGCUAGUAAUCGCGGAUCAGCAUGCCGCGGUGAAUACGUUCCCGGGCCUUGUACACACCGCCCGUCACACCAUGGGAGUUUGUAACGCCCAAAGUCGGUGGCCUAACCAUUAUGGAGGGAGCCGCCUAAGGCGGGACAGAUGACUGGGGUGAAGUCGUAACAAGGUAGCCGUAGGAGAACCUGCGGCUGGAUCACCUCCUUUCUAAGGAA